UAUGGGCUGUAUAUAGGUUGGUAUAGCUGCUGUAAAUGUGGUAGUUGGCAAGGGAACGUUACAGGUGUGAGUGUGUUAAGUGUUAGUGCAUGUCUUAUGGGGAAACGCGUGUAGUUUAGGUAUACAGGUUAAAGGUAUAAGAAAGCUUCAAGAUAAGGUGGGGGAGCAAGGACAAGAUGAUAUUGUGUUGAAUUGGUAGUAUUAGGGGACGCCGAUAUUGGUUAUCAUUACCUAGAAAAAGUAAGUUGAUCGCCGAUAGUGGUGAUGGUCGGGGGACUCCGAUAGGAAGGGGUUUGGUUGCUGAUAUUGGUGAGGGAAAAGGAUGGUAUCUGUGUAUGUGUGUGGCCUAUUAGGGGUCGAGAAAUAGGCGGGUUAUUGGUAAUCGCUGAUACUGGUGACGGG
Molecule: long non-coding RNA, 402 nt
Filed under: Carica papaya (papaya)
Lineage: Eukaryota; Viridiplantae; Streptophyta; Magnoliopsida; Brassicales; Caricaceae
Description: long non-coding RNA (CPAP_LNC007801)
Source: RNAcentral